RNAcentral lists this ribosomal RNA (212 nucleotides) under Olea europaea subsp. europaea. RNAcentral describes it as "SSU_rRNA_bacteria". It matches the Rfam family "Bacterial small subunit ribosomal RNA", at positions 131 to 391 of the family's 1533-position model. The record is from RNAcentral. Lineage: Eukaryota; Viridiplantae; Streptophyta; Magnoliopsida; Lamiales; Oleaceae.
UUGAGUAUUUGUAUUUUUGGACAAACCACCAUCUUUUGAAAACCCAAUAAAAAUAAGAUUCACAUAGCUUAAAUAUGUAAGCAUCUGAUUAAAUAGUUGGUGAGGGAAUAGCUUACCAAGACAAUAAUCAGUAGCUAGUUCGAGACACGUCCUAGACUUCUACGGGAGGUAGCAAUGAAAGUCUUUUCGCAAUGGACGAAAAUCUGACGAAG